Sarcophilus harrisii (Tasmanian devil) is the source of this 77-nucleotide small nucleolar RNA. Ensembl annotates it as small nucleolar RNA, C/D box 59A. Its record names the gene SNORD59A. The record is from Ensembl. NCBI's taxonomy places the organism in Eukaryota, Metazoa, Chordata, Mammalia, Dasyuromorphia, Dasyuridae.
UCUUCGGUGAUGAUUUUUAACCUGAUGACUUUCGUUCUUCUGAGUUUGCUGAAGCCACGAUUAGAAUCUGAGCAAGA